AAUUGAGAUUUGAAUUUUAAAAUUACAUACACAAACACACCCGAUUUAAAAAAAAAUAAUAAUAAUGCUAACAAUAAAAUAUUUCAGCCGUCCUAUGUGUUAUCGCCAAAAACGGAUUUCCAAUCUAUUACAACAUGAGGUAUAUGAGUUAACAAGUCCCAAUAUUGUCCUCCAUCCUUUCUGCACUUCUCUGCUAUCAACGGACAUCCUGCGAUCUGUAAUUGCAAAAGUGAGGAAGGCAGGCCCUUCUCCGGAAAGUAUUUGAGCUUGGGACAAUUAUGGAGUCGCAAUACAGUGAGGUUUUGAAGAUCAACAAUUGAAGAAGAUAGGCGUUCCAGAUUUGGAAAAUUGAAAAUCUCCAGAGACGUUAGAGAGGCAGGAAGAGGAAGCGCGGUCCCUAAUCUUUUGUCCUCUAGUGGAAAUGACACCAUGUCCUCAUCACAUCCACUGAUUAAAAGACGUUGCAGAGAGGAGAAUCUGUGAAAUCCCCGUCCCCGCUCAAUCAUUGACUUCCAAAUCUCCAUAUUACCCCAAAUAUCAAGUGACUGAAGGUUGGUGGGAAGGCCAUCUUCUUCUUCAAGGCUUGGAAGCGCACCUCCUUUUCCUAUUGUUAAUUCUUGAAGAGAGCUCAGAUUGUGCAUUCCCUUGGGUAAGGCCUCUAGUCUCUUACAAUUAGAUAUCGCCAGCCUCCUGAGUUUCGCACAAGGCAAUCCCCCUUCGGGAAAGGACACCAGAUUUUUACAACUAUCUAUGCUGAUUGUUUCAAGAGAUGUGUUGUUGUCCAACCUUUCUGCUAUUGACUUCAGCUUUGAACAACUCCAAACAACGAGGGACUUAAGAGACGAAGGUAGAUUGCCAACUUCAAGGGACUCAAGCCUGGCAGGUAACUCGUUUUUUGAAAAUAUACAUGUCAGAGAUGGACAACUAAUAAUUUCUAAGUGCUCGAGAAGAGAUGAGGUGUACCUUCUGCUGCUGCUGCUGCUGCUACACUGGAUACCCUCUUCCGCUGUCAAAGUCCUUAUAUUAUCGCAAUUGUAAAUCUCCAACUGCUUAAGGCUCGGUGGUAGCUGGACCGCAACAAUAUAUGUCAACGAAUGGCAAUCCUCAAUAUUCAAGAUCUCGAGAGACGAAUUGGUGUCGCACCUCCAUGCCUCUGGUAACGAUUUCAGUGCGUGACAUUCUCUAAUCUUAACUUUCUUCAACUUGGAAGGCAGAGCAACCUCAGGAAAGGAAACAAGGGAACUGCACUUGUAGAUUGCUAUCUCUCUCAAGGAACUGAGGCUGAACGAUGAUUGUGGCAGCUUCACAAGGCUUUCGCAAUCACUCAAUUCUAGAUAUUCAAGUCUGCAUGACAACUCGCAGAGCUGCUGUUGUUGGUCUUUCUCUUCCUCCGCGACCAAGGAUUGAAGUUUGGGACAGCUUGUAAUCAGCAGUCUUUUGAGAGAGCAAAUGUCUUGCAGUAAUUCGUUAUGACUCUUCCAUAUAUAUGUUUCAUUUUUAAUAUUUUUUAUCUCCAAUUCUUCCAGUUUUGGUAUUCGCGGCUUCAAUGGCCCUGCGAGAAACACUUGAUUUGAUGUAUCUCUACAAACCACUGAAUUCUGUGAGCCGAGAUGAUCAGUUGCACUACUCCACACAAUCUUUUUACAUCCACCAAUUUCAAAUUUGCAAAGAGCUGGAAGACUUGCAACUGAAACUAGCAAUUCUUCACAUCCUUCAAUUACAAGCAUCUCCAAUGCAGGAAGGUGUUCUGGAAAUGUUCCUUGCAGCUUAGAACAGCUUAUAAUAUGAAGCUCUCUCAAUUUAGGAAACCCUUCAACUCCCUGACCAGAUCUAAGAGGAAUCCAGUCUUCCCAUUCUUGCAUGUCUUGAAAACGAAGAGUCUCCAAGCAUGGAAAAGGAAUCGGGGAAUCAUUCCCAUAGAACUCUGAACCCAAACUCUUUACUCUACUCAUUCCACGCACUUCAAGAUGCUUUAAAGAGGGUAGUUGCCCGACUGACGGCAGGGCAGUACACAUGCCGCAAUCUUCAAAUUUAAGUGUUACUAAAUUUGAGAAUGAGGAAUCUCCUAACCAUGUUGGAAAUUUUGUACCUCCAUAGCCACAGAUACCAAAUUGUUCCAGAUUUUUAUGGGGUUUGAGCAUGUCAAGCACACCCAUUUCAGUUUCUGCCUCCCUUGAAGAUGAACCAUCGGUACUGCGUGUCCAUCGAAGCAAUAAUUCUCUAAGAUUCUCCUUUACAUCCAAUUGAGCCUCCUUCGCAUUACCAACGUCUUUUACGUUCUCCAAUUUUGAAAUUUCAAGUGGCCCACGAAGAUGCAUCAAUAACUUUAGCUCUGAUAACCCCGAACCACUGUCUUUUCCCACAACAAAAUUACACAACGUCUGAAGACUAGUCAAUCUACCAAUUCCUACUGGCAUUUCCUCCAACGACUUCGUAUUUGAAUUCUUAAGAUGAUGCAAUUUGGUGAGGUUUCCCAUGUCUGCACACAACUUCUUCAGCCGAUCACAAUCUUCCAAGAAAAGACUAUGCAAAUUGUAAAGCUUGUUGACUGAUUCAGGCAGAGUUCUAAUCAUAGUUCCAGAUAGGUUGAGGUAUCUUAAAUACCUCAAAUCACCAAUUGAAUCCGUUAGCUCAUACAUGCAAUAUCCACGCAAAGAGAAGACCCUCAACCGUUGGAGUUUGAACAACUUGGGGAGAAUGCUACGAGCCAAGUAUCCAUGCCACCUAUUUGACAAUGCUACUGGUAAAAAAGUUCGCAAAUGGUGGAUAUCAUGCAAGUCCUCAAACCUUUGAACGCCAUCACAAUAUCCACGAAUGUAUGACAGGUGACGAAAAUUUUUGGAAAAACUUUGUUGCUUGUUAACCUCUGAGUUAUACUCCAUUGUGAAGUAUAUCUCCCCCGCAGCCCAUUGAGCAAGGUCGUUGACAAGGUCGUGCAUCACAAAUCGUGAUUUAUUGUUGCUUGAUUGCUGGAAAAAAGAUCUUGAACGUAGCUCUUGAAAGAACUUUCGACCUAGAUCUUCAUUAGGAUUCCCACUCUCUUUGUGAUCCAAGAAACCCGAGGCACACCAUAAUAAAAUUAUCUCCUCCUCUUCAAAUUCAUAAUCCUUUGGAAACAAUGAGCAGUAUGCAAAGCAUUGUUUCAAAGGUGCCGAAAGAUAAUAGUAGCUCACUGCAAGGGCUGGUAUAAUACCACAUCUCUCUUCUGGUAAUUCCCAUAUCUUGCUACUGAGCACAUCUUCCCACUCACUUCUGUCAUGAUUCCCACGUAAAAGUCCUCCAAGUGUUUGUGCUGCCAAGGGCAAGCCAUCGCAUUUGGUCACUAUCUUCUUGCCGAUUUCCUCCAGUGACUUAUGUGAACUGAAAUCUCUCGUCCCCAAUGAAUGUUGAACGAAUACAGCUAGACAAUCAUUAUCUGACAACUUCUUUAAUUGAUAAGCCGGAACAGUACCCAUAAUUUUAGCAACCUCUUGAUUGCGAGUAGUGACAAUAAUUUUACUUCCCGGUGCGCCAAGUUCAAAGGGACGUCUGAGUUGAUCCCAAUCAUCGUAAUUCCGGUUCCACACGUCAUCUAAAAGAAGCAAAAACUUCUUUCCAGAUAGUUGCUUAUUCAGUUUCUCUUGAAGUGAAUUCAAGUUGAGAUUAUCUACGUUCUGGUCAGCAACAAUGGAUGUUAAGAUUGUUUUUGUUAGCCUGAUAACGUCGAAAUCAUCAGAGACACAAGUCCAUGCCUUGAGAUCAAAAUGAUCCACCACUUGCUUAUCAUUGUAGACAAGCUGAGCAAGAGUGGUUUUGCCCAGCCCACCCAUACCUACAAUAGGUAUAACGGAGAAUCCACCAUCGUUGCUUAAAUCAUCCCUCAACAGCAGUUCAACAACAUCCUUCUUUUCGAUUUCCCUGCCAUAUACUUUGGCUUCCUUCACCAAAGAGGUUGUCUCUCGCCUUUUCCUGUCUUUUGUGGUCCUCCCACCCGAACUUACAUUCAAACCCAGCGAGUCCUUCUGUGUUACAAUAUCUUGAAAUCUGCCAUUGAUCUCUUUGAUUUUGGACAUCAUGGCGUAAUCGAACUGAAUCGAUUGUGGAGUAAAAGUGGUGCAGCAAGUAGGAAUGAGCUUCCGAAACUUACUUGUUCUUGUACGACUGCUACUGGGUUGAUCAUGAGCCGCAGCUGGAUCUCCAUUUCCAAGCAGCAACUUCCUCCGGAAAGCCUCAGUUUGAAACUCAUCCAGCAAGUCUUCAACAUCAAAAGCCAAGUUCUGAAGCUCGCCAAGCCACAACUUUACAGACUGAUCAGUCUUCUUCUCCUCAGCAUCGGCAAGCACCGCCUUGAUUAUCACCAACAUAUUCUUCCACUUCUUUAGAUCGGCUUGGAUUUGCUCUUGGCGUGCAAACAGCCGAAUCCCCUCCGAAGCUAACUUAUUGACCAGCAAAUCAACGGACGCCGUAAGGAUUGCCUCUCCGAUGAAUGACAUUUUUUUCUUCUUUUUCUUUUUUUUUGGUUUUGCAAAGAAAGAAAGGAGCAGAAUUAUGGGUUAUGGAAAGCAGAAUGAGAAAAUGGAUAAUUAAGCAGAAUGAGUUUGUGAUUGUGAAGGGUCUGGCCCAGCAAGCUUAGUAGAAAUCACGCGUUUAUACUUUAUUGACCAAUGACUAAUAAUUUGGCAAUUCACUCAUCACCACCACUUGGUAAGCAAAAUGAAAAUGCUUAGUAAUUAAGUGUCAAGGGUCAAGCAAAAUACGACGUAAAAUGUGUCAAGGGUCUCUCCACUACUUGUUCCUUGCAGCUUAGAAAAGAAAAACAGAGCCCACCACCCAUUAAUAAUUUAGCAAUUCACCAAUCAUCACCACUUGUUACGAAACCAUCUCAUAAACCAAGUUCGUAGGUCGAGCAGUUAAUCCAGUGUCUAUGUCCUAGAACCUUCAUCUCAUAAACCAAGUUCAAUCAAAACGUUCCUCUCUAUAUUUUUUUUUUUUCAAAACUCCUAAAACGUUUCUUUUUAGAGACAUUUUACUUUAUUCAUCUCAUAUGUUAUCUAGCAAAUAGACACAAUUGAAAUCACUCUAAAGUGAAGAUGAAAGGGGAAACAAAUAACCUUCCGACCACCAGUAAUUUAGCAAGCUUCACUUUAUUCCACCAAAGUGUAAAUAAAGCCAGCCCCCACCACCAUCAAUAAUUUUGCAAGCUUCACACGCUUGUUGUCUUCUCCUUGACGAACUGGACAUGAGUGCACCAAGAAUCAAUGACAGAAUUUUAAAAAUAAUAAUAAGAGAAAAACCUACAAAUUUUCGACUUAGAGUAGAACCUUAAUUAAUGCUAAAAUCUACUCAGCUAACAUUUUCAAAAUAUUGUUCUUUAUGAUUUCCAAAACCGUGAUUAAGGUUCAUCUCAAAUGUUUGAAGAGAGUCUAUCAGUUCUUCUACGUUAAGAAUAUCAAAAUUCUUGCUUUUUCUUCAAAUGUUGAAUAAUAAAAAAAAAAAGUUGAAUAUGGAGGAAAAUAGAAUGCAUCCAUCUUCGCUGCUGUAGAAGUCUUCUACUUAUAAAAGUAAGUUAGAAUAAACAAUUUUAAUCUCUCUUUUUAUUCCUACAAGUGCACUACAUUUUUUUUUUAAUCUCAAUGCAAAGUCGUAUCGAAAUGUUAUAUUCCUAUUGUAAAACAAAAUUUUAGAUAAAACAAAUUCGACUCAUUUUUUAAAGAUAUAUAUUUAGUAGGUUACCAACAUAACUAACAAAACGUGAUUAUUACACUAAAUGAAAUAAAUGACAGUACUAUCACCAAUAAUUUAGCAAGUUUCGCAUGCAUGUGUUUCUAAAAACAUUAUAUGGAAUCAAACAACAGUGAUACAAAGAGAAAAGUAGAAAUCCUCUGAUUAUAUUUUUUUUUUCUUUUUCAAAAGAAAUGGUGGGGUUGGUUUGUUUGCAAAGUUAUUAGCGAGGGUCUAUUUGUUUUUGUUUUAACUUUAUUAAUCAAUAAGCAAACAUGUAAUGAUUUGUAUAUAUCACUAGCAUCACAUUAUUGGGAGGUAUUGCGCUUAAUAUUCACAAUUUUUGUAAGAUGAAUUUGUAAGACUAAUUAAUUUUGAUGAAAAUGUAUCGUUACUAAGAUAUUAUUUAAUUCAUUAAGUUAACUUGAGGUAUUAAUAUUUACUAAUUGUGGUGCUGAUUAAUUUAUUUAACUUGUCACUAUUUGCAAUUAAGAAUGAAGUUCAAUCAAUUUAUUGAGUAAAAAAAAAACAAAGAUGCAUUUUUUUCUUUAGAUUUUAAUUCUUAGGAUUUGAUUUCACGCUCUUUUGUUUUUUUACGUUGCUAAAGAGGCAGUAAAAAGUUUGCUGAAUGUCAUCAAAUACUUGUAUCUCAUCUCACAAAUUGGUAAUAUUUGUUUGGUAUUUCAUCUCAACAGACGCAGUAAGGAUUACCUCUCCAAUGACUGACAUUUUUUUUUUUUUUUUGGGGACAAAGAAAGAAACAGAAUUUUGAGUUUCGAAAAGCAAAAUAAGAAAAUUGAGCAGUAAGUGUGAAGGGUCAAGCAAAAUGCAUGUAGCAAGUCUUCGACUUGUUGUUUAUCCCACUAAAGUGAAAAUAAAAACAGAGCCCACGACCCCUUAAUAAUUGAGCAAUUCACCAAUUACGAGUCACCACCACUCGUUACCAUGAAUAUAAUAAAUUGCACCUUGAUAUUUGCAGGGUCCAGCAACAUUGACCUAGUGUCCGGGUAAAUGCUGAAUAAAGAGGAAAAUGGAAUGUAUCCACUCCGAACCUUCGCUUUACAACAAUUUUUAAGAAUCACAAUGGUAAUUCCUACUAUCAUGUUAUCUUAAUGUCGUGUUAAAAUAAAUUAUAAUAUAUUUUUUAUAUGAACACUCUUUUCAUUUAUAAAUUUUUAAGUUUCUAAUAUUUUUCUCAUUUUUUUAAUCUUAAUAUUUAUAUUCCUCUCUUCAAAUUUUUUUAUUAUUUAAUUUUUAAAGAAAAAUAUGAAAAAAAUAAGAAAAACAUUAUACUUAGAAAAUAAUUAAUAUUUUAUGGGUCUAAUGCAAUUUUGUCUCACCUAUAAAUUUUUUUGUUUAGCAAUUAGUUUGAGAAUCUUAAAAAAUUAUUUGCAGUAGGAUAAAAUUUAAUUUAAUUUAUUUUUUUACUGUAUUGUAUCUUAAUUAAUUAAGUUGUUAUGUUUAUUACAAGAAUUUUGUUUUGGCUUAGAGGAUUGCUUCUUAAAUUCAUAUUAUUUUAAUGAUAAUAAAAGAUAUUUAUAUUGUGCAAGCAAAAUAAAAUGAAGAGAGAAAGAAAAUAUAAAUGACUUAAUUCUAUUUAUAUUUGUCCUCAAAUGUAAUUGUAGUAUAAUAGGAGUUUUAUAAGAUUAAUGAAGGGGUGCCAAUAGUCGUACUCUUAUAGAAAAUGACUGUAAUAAUAGUGGAAAUUUAGUGUAAUAAAAAGGAUAAACCGUAAGAAAUUAAUGUUUACUUCAAGAUACGUUAUAAUUAUUGUUUUUCUUAAGAUGUUAUUUGCCUCCACCAAUCGAAUGAUGCACAUGAAUUAAGCAAAAAUGCCUCCAUGAUACAAUAAAAUGCUUAUUUAUUUGUUUACGUUAUAUGUCGACGAAGCAAACUUGAAUACUUUUUAAUGUUGUAAGCGUGCCAAAAAUCAAUAUAUUAUUUCUACAAAAAGAAACAAUAUAUUAGAUAUUUAAAGUAGAAAAAAUAGAUGUUGAUUGAUGAAAUUUUAUUUAGGAAAGACAGCUAAGAAAAGAAUGGUGUAACGCCAUUUUAUUCAUGUCUAAAUAGCCUAAAUAUGACCUCUAUUUAUAUAUACACUUAUGCCCUAUUAUUUGGAUUGUCGUUCUUUUAUAAUACUCGUUCAUUCAUGGUCAUUAGCUCAAACAAUCGAAUUCCUACUAUAGCUAAUUAACUUAUUGACCAGCAACUUAAAGGAUGCCAUAAGGAUUGCCUCUUUGAUUAUUGACGUUUUUUUUCUCUCUUUUUUGGUUUUUUUUUGGGUUUUGGGGGGGGGGGGGGGGGGGGGGGGGGGGGGUUAUGGAAAUUAAAGCAUAUAAGAAAGUCAAUUACAGCGGAAUGAGUUUGUGAUUGUGAAAUGUCGAGCAAGUCUAGAAACUAAUUAGGCAAAACCCACCACGAAAGCUAAAAAGGAAAAAUAGCGCCCACCACAAAUAUAAAAUUGGAGGAGAUCAGGAUCAUUCCUUUGCUUUACAUAUUAAAUUAAAUAAAGGAAAAUGAUAAACGAACUCAAUGAAGACAAAACGACGAUAAAAAUGUAACUUUAAAUUGCCGAUUCACGCGUUAGAUUUUUCUACUUUUAAACUUGCGUGGACCCACAAGAAAUAAAAAAAAAUGAAAAAAUGAUGGUCAUUUCUGGUAACUCUCCAAAAAAUAAUAAAAUAAAGAAAAAAGGAAUGAAAAGCUGGUCAUUUCUCCCCCUCACUUCGGCCAUUAUCAUCCUUGUUUCGCUGGUGAAACGCUCUCGAAAAAUUUGUAGACAAAUCAGAGUAAAGGGAAACAACUUUGGAAAUGUUUCUCACGCUCUCAACUACAGCAAGCAGUGAAUUGCAUCAGAUAUUAGUGAAGAAUAAUUGCCAACCGUAAACUCAGCUCCUUCAGUUGCUAGUGUAUACCAAUAGAGCAAUAGGUUGUGUUUGGGGAUGUUAGAUGUAGAAAUAAUUGAGGCAAAAUUCUUUUAUGCAAUUGUUGGCUUGUGUCGACUUUUUGAAAGGAAACUUAUUUUUGGGCUGUCAAUGUUACUUAUUUGUUAGUUUAUUUCUUAGGUUUUGUUGUUUGGGAUAUUAUGUAUUGGAUUUCAUUUCCUUUUGCCUCUGGUAUGGCCCCUAAUAGAACUUGAUGUUAUUCUUUUUGGGAUAUGUUUUUCUGAAUUAGAGAUGACAUCAUUAGCAUCUGGUCUUUCUCUUUGAGACAGCCGAGAGAGUGAGGUGCCGUGAGAGAUGCAAUCGAUGGGGGAGAGAGAGAGAGGGAGCCGACAGUGAGAGCUCAGAUGCUGAAUGGAGUGAAGCGACAGACAAAGGGACCCACGUUUCUGUCGUCCUUUGUCGUCGCAGAGUUCAAAUAGCAGAACUCUUAAAUAAAAGCCAAACUAAGAACCUUGCCUUUGCUCAACAUGAUUAAUUAGGCACUACUUUAGAAAAAACACGAAAGUAAUAAAUCUUGUAUUAAUCUUAAAUUUUAGGACUAAAGCUACAUUUUUUUUUUUUUUUGUUUUGCAAAGAAAGAAACAGAAUUUUGAGUUUUGAAAGCAAAAUGAGAAAAUUGAACAGUAAGUGUGGAGGGUCAAGCCAAAUGCGCGUAACAGGUCUUCCGCUUGCUGUCUAUUCCAGUACAGAGCCCACCACCCAUUAAUAAUUGAGCAAUUCACCAAUCACCAAUCUGGCAGUCACCACCCCUCGUUACCAUGAAUAUAAUGAAUUGCACCUUGAUAUUUGCAGGGUCCAUCAACAUUGACCCGGUGUCUGGGUUAAUGCUGAAAAAUAUGAAAAAAAGAAAAAAAAAUAUUAUACUUAGAAAAUAAUUAAUAUUUUAUGGGUCUAAUGUAAUUUUGUCUCACCUAUAAAUUUUUUUAUUUAGCAAUUAGUUUGAGAAUCUUAAAAAAUUAUUUGCAGUAGGAUAAAAUUUUAUUUAAUUUAUUUUUUUACUGUAUUGUAUCUUAAUUAAUUAAGUUGUUAUGUUUAUUACAAGAAUUUUGUUUUGGCUUAGAGGAUUGCUUCUUAAAUUCAUAUUAUUUUAAUGAUAAUAAAAGAUAUUUAUAUUGUGCAAGCAAAAUAAAAUGAAGAGAGAAAGAAAAUAUAAAUGACUUAAUUCUAUUUAUAUUUGUCCUCAAAUGUAAUUGUAGUAUAAUAGGAGUUUUAUAAGAUUAAUGAAGGGGUGCCAAUAGUCGUACUCUUAUAGAAAAUGACUGUAAUAAUAGUGGAAAUUUAGUGUAAUAAAAAGGAUAAACCGUAAGAAAUUAAUGUUUACUUCAAGAUACGUUAUAAAUAUUGUUUUUCUUAAGAUGUUAUUUGCCUCCACCAAUCGAAUGAUGCACAUGAAUUAAGCAAAUAUGCUUCCAUGAUACAAUAAAGUGCUUAUUUAUUUGUUUACGUUGUAUGUCGACGAAGCAAACUUAAAUACUUUUGAAUGUUGUAAACCUACCAAGAAUCAAUAUAUUAUUUCUACAAAAAGAAACAAUAUAUUAGAUAUUUAAAGCAUAAAAAAUAGAUGUUAAUUGAUUAAAUUUGAUUUAGGAAAGACAGCUAAGAAAAGAGUGGUGUAACGUCAUUUUAUUAAUGUUUAAAUAGUCUAAAUAUGACCUCUAUUUGUACAUACACUUAUACCCUAUUAUUUGGAUUAUAUUUUUUUUAUAAUACUCAUGCAUUCAUGGUUAUUAGAUCAAACAAUUAAAUCCCUACUAUAGCUACUUAACUUAUUGACCAGCAACUUAAAGGAUGCCAUAAGGAUUGCCUCUCAGAUGAUUGACAUUUUUUUUUCACUUUUUUUAUAGUUUUUUUUGGUGUGUUUGGGGGAGGGGGGGGGGGGAGUUUAUGAAAAUUAAAGCAAAUAAGAAAGUCAAUUACAGCAGAAUGAGUUUGUGAUUGUGAAAGGUCGAGCAAGUCUACAAAUCAAUUAGACAAAACCCACCACGAGAGUUAAAAUGGAAAAAUAGCGCCCACCACAAAUAUAAAAUUGGAGGAGCUCAAGAUCCUGCCUUUGCUUUACAUAUAAAAGCCAAACCAAUAACCUUGCCUUUGCUUAACAUGAUUAAUUAAGCACUACUUCAGAAAGAAUACAAAAGUAAUGAACCUUGUAUUAAUCUUAAAUUUUAGGAAUAAAGCUACAUUUUCUCCUCUUACCAUCUUUUCAUGUUCAUUUCAAAAGUUUGAAGAGAGUUUAUCCAUUCUUCUUCUAAACUAAGAAAAUCAACAUUCUUACUUUCUUCAAAUGUUGAAUAAAGAAAAAUAAAUUAUUGAAUAAGGAGGAAAUUAGAAUGUAUUUACCUUCGCUAACCUAAAAUAAAAAAAAAAUUAAUCUCUCUUUUAUUACUAAAGUACACUAUUUUUUUAAUAAUUGUAUUGAUAAUGACAAUAUAUAUCAUCGAUUAUAUUCUUGUUGUGUUGAAAUAAGGUAUAAAAAAUUUUGGAUCAAGAGGAAUUCGACUCAUUUGUUAAAGGUACAUAUUUAAUAUACUAAAAACAAAAAUUAACAUAAACAUGAUUAUUACACUAAAGUGAAAUGAAAGCCAGUACCCGCCGGUUCACCAACAGUAAUUUAGCAAACUUUGCAUUCUAGGAAAUGGACAUUGGUGAAUUAACCAAAGAAGACUUCCUUUGAUAAUGCGGGUAACGCCGGUCUGUCAUGGAAUGGACAUUGGUGAAUUCACCAAUGUCCAUUUCAAAGAAGACUUCCUUUGAAAUGGACAUUGGUGAAUUCGACUUCCUUUGACGUUUAGUUGACUAUUUUCACAUCUAGCAGCCCUUGGCGUUUUGUUUUCGUUCGCUCUGUCGUCUUCAUCGCUCUGUCGUCUUCGAUCUUUAUGGCGACAUGGGUAUAUGUGUAUGGUAAACUGUGCGGGUGAAGAGUGUCGACAUGAUGCUGUCACCUUGCUUUAAUUAAUUGCAGUGACGUUAUAAAGUAAGCCUCAAAAAUUUAAAAUCGUGGGUCAAGCCCUGGUGUACAAAUCAGAAGUUGUAACAAAGAAGAAUUUAAAUUUUUUCUUCUUUCUUUCAUGCAUUAGGCUCGUUAACAAUUCAACAUACCAGGGAUGAGGGAUGCAAGGAAACAAUUAUUUGGUUUGAGUGUUUGGUAUUUUCUCGAUUCAUUCAGAAUUUGAUGAGUUUUUCUGUUUAAAUUGUGCGUAUAAUUUUUAUUUUUAAUUUUCUGACGUCGAUAUCUUUAGCAUAGAUUUUGUCUAUGAUACAUUAAAAAAGUUUGAAUCGCACAUGAUUCACUGUGUUGUAAGAGUAAAAUUUCUUCUUAUUAUUUAGAAUUCAUAUUUUUCAACUAAACUUUUAAUACAAUAUAUCGAGACAGAUCCUCGUGAUGCACAUACAUUUUCGCUUUUAGCCGUGCUGCCUGCUCUCAAAUGUACACUUAUAAAUUCCAAAUGAAAAGAAAUUUUGAAAUUGCGCAGCUCUGGCCAGGGAUCACCUUUUUUCCUUGCUAUUAUCUACAAUAUUUAUUUUUGCAAUCCGCAUGCAUGCUCGGUUAUGAUCACCCACGUGAUCGGCAUUAAGUUUUUUUUUAUCUUCUUAUUAACAAAUUAUUUAGUGUGCGGACUCCAUUCAUGCUCCCACGUUAAUCUUUCCAAAUUUUGUGCAAUAAAAGUUCAGCCGAUCCGCUAUUCACUUUGCCACAGUCUGCUACUUCAUUCUAUUUGUUUACUGCAUAUGAAUCAUUAAUCAUAUGAAACCAGAAGCAAGACCUCGCAAAAGCAACUUAAUUACUUCGUGAGUUUUAAUUUGGGAAUUGGAGGUUUCUUCUGAUUUGAACAAUAUGGAAACUACCUGUGCAAGUUUUUUUUUUUUUGGGCGAAUUUCAGUUCAAUAUCAUUUAUAAUUCUUAUUUCAAUAUAUUUAGAAAUAAGUUUAAUAAUAUUAAAUUUUCACUUAAGAAUGACCGGUGGGAGGGUCAAGCAGAUAUGCCUGAUUUGGGUGUUGGAAUAUUUAUAGUGGUCCAUGUGCCACAUUAUUGAAUUAGUAAUAAUUUAGAAUUUAAAUGAUAAAAUAAAUAAUGGGCCAAAAUCUUAUUGGUCAAUUGGGAAAAUCUAACGGCCCACUUUAAUGGAAAGUGGAAAUAAGAGUUUUAUUGAAAUUGAUUUUCUCUCUCUCUAUAUAUAUAUAUCACGUUAAUUUUCGCUCCAUCAAGAAAACGAAUCACUCUAAAGGGGUCAAGAGAUAAAAAUUAAUUUUACUAAUAUUUAAUUUUUUACAGUGAGAUUUAAUCAAGAAGAUUGUUAUGGAUCAAGAUAUGUUUUCUCUCAAUUAUGAUGAUGUGAAAAUCAUGAUAUUUUAUGAUCUUAGGGAUUGAAGUUUAUGUAAAUUAGGGUUUAUUUGCUUUACAAGAGGUGUACAAAUUCUCAACAACUGGUAGCAGAGCAUGGUUUAAGAAUUUAUGAUUUUCUAUUAAGAUCUGUAAUAACCCUUUCUUAAUUUUCAAUUGUCCUUAUGAGUAUAUGUCAAUUUGGAUUAUUAUUCCACAUAUACAUAAUGUAUAAAGAAAAGAGUAAUGAUACUGCCACAAACUCUUGUACAAAUUUAUUUUGUACAAACUGACGUGUCAUUAAUUCACUGGUUGAAUGAAAAUAUAAAUUAAUAAAAACAAAUUAUAUGGGCUAAGUGAUAUUUAAUUCAACCAAUCUUAUCAUGCCUCAUCAAUUUGUACAAAAUAAGUUUAUAUAAGAGUUUGUGACUGUAUCAUUACUCUAAAGAAAAUUAUUGGCAUAGAAAUUUUUUGCACAAAAAAAAAAAUCCAAGAUGUUUUUGACUGUUGGCGGCACAAUACAUAAAGGUGAAAUUAGGUUAUCUUUUGGAUUUUUUCAUGAGACACCCUAAGGUUUGUUUAGUUUAUGCUUUUGGCCAAAGUUUAUAAUUUUGUUUCAUUUAAGUCCAAUUGAAUUUGCAACGGCCAUCACAUGCUGUCUUCAAGCCGAAAUUUAGGAGCAAUUGCAUGUGAAAUUGCAGUGUAGUCCCUGGUAUUCUAUUUUAUUAAAUUAAAGAUAUGAUUAAUUGGAUUUAGUAUGAUAAAGCCGCCGACUUUAUGUGCAUCAAGCCUUAUAAGUUUUGUUCUCGUAAUUUUGAAGCCUCCGCUCAUUAAUUAAUGAUCUCCAAAAUUUCUUAAUGUUCCAAUUUUAAUGUUUGAAAUUUGAAUUGAUGUUUGUGGUUUUAUUUACUUUAUUAAAGAAAUUACUUUGUUAUAAAUGUUCAAUUUGACAUUCAUAUUAUGAUAAUUUGUUAGUUACUAAAGUAGCCAAAUUAGAAAGUUUUCAUAGAUGUCAAAUUAAAUUCAAUUUCAAGUUCUCAUAAUUAUUGUGAUGCGUAUUAUUUAAUGACAUGAUGAUCUUGUUGUAUGAGUAUAUUGAAAUUCACAGAUUAUAAAAUAUUUAGGAAUUGCUCAAAGGUUGAUUAAUUAAUUUUAUAAUAUAUGAUCAUGAUUUGUGGAUAAUUAAUAUGCUUGAUUAGAUAUGUUUAGUAUAUCCAAAGAUAGCAAGCGUGUCUAGUUUAUGUAUAGUUGAUUACUAAUUAUGUGAAAUUAAAGUUAAGCAUCAAUUAUGUUUAUUGCAGUGUAUUGUUGUAUCACCAAAUAAAUUAAGCUUCUUAAUUUUAUGUCAGUAAGUAUUAAUAAAUUAAUAUAGGUAACAUUAAAUAAUUUAAAUUAGCUGUAGAAAAUUUUAAAAUAUUUUAUUCAUAAUAAAAAAUUAGCGAUAUUAUAUCAUGAAUUAAUUAAUAUGUAAAUUAUUUAUUUAUCAAAAUCAUUUUCAUUUAAUUAAAUAUUAAUUGAGGUUUAAUUAUUAGUUAUCAAUAAAAAUUAACAUGGUAUUGUCUUUUUUAUGGUCCUGGCCCCCAUCUCCAAAUUAGAAGCAAUUCUCAAACCCGCCCCAUACCUAAAAGUUCACAUUUGGGGAGCAUCCCCAAUUUUGUGUAUGUAUAUAUGAUUUGGUGAGUUACAAGAAGCAUUACCAGCAAAAGCACAGAAAUGGUUUCGUUUCAGAAGCAAAUAUGAUGCUAAGGAAAGUUUCGUCUUCAGCAUAAUAACUAUAUAAUAUCAUAAUGAAUUGGUGUGCAUUAACCAUGCUCCAGGUUGAUUUGGAAAGUCAUGAUGCUGUUUCCAUUUCAAUUUAGACUCCUUGCUUAUCAGCCAAAUGAUUUAUAAGUAAUAGCCAGUAGAAGUUUUUCUCAAAAUGGAAAUAAGUUGUCUUACUGGGAGAGUCCACAUAUGGUAUCUAAUUUGUGGUGUUAUUAUUUCAAUUGUAAGUUCCCUAAUUCUGGCCAAUGUACAGAUUCAGAAAAUUAUAUUUGGUGAGUUUUUUUUUUUUUUUUUUUUUUUUUAAAGGUUUUGGAUACAACGGCAAGAGAUAGGGAAAAACAACAAAGGGAGAGUCAAAACUCCACAUUAAGCUAACAUUUGAAUUUCCAUUUAUACUUUGCUCCACUCAUUCUAAUGUUUACUGGCUAAUUGUAGUUUAUGGUGUAGCAUCCAAAAAAGAUGACUCGUAGAAUUUAUUCUUUCGGACCACUAAGUAGCUUAAACACACACACACACAAACACAUGUACAUAUGAACGUGUGUGUAUGUAUAUGUAUAUAUAUAUGUAGGUGUGUAUAUAUAGUCCUUCCCUAAUAUAGACAUCUCUUUUUCUUUUUUUUUUUUUCUACAUAGACACACUAUCACUAGUAGAAAAAUAGCCUUCUAUGAUACUAUUUUGGCAUCAACAGCUUAUUUUACUAACACCGAGUCUAGUGUCACUAAUCACGAUGCAAGAAAUUUACUGACACAAAUUUUUUGUGUCAACAAUUCUGUGUUACCUUAGAAUCAAAGAAAUGCUGAUUCCAUAGUAUCAAAAUAAUUGCAAUUCUAUACAAUCAUGUAGAUAGUGAUUCUAUGGUAUGAAGCAAGUUUUGAUGCUCUAAUGUCAUUUAUGUUCUGAUUCAAUAAUAUUGGUAUUUACCAAUGCUAUAUUGGUGUCAACAGUUUUAAAAGUAUUUAAAAAAAAAUGAAAUGGUCAUUAUUACAAUUGUCAAUAAACUGGAAUCAAAACUUAAUAAUCAACAUUUUUGAAUAAUGAUUAUGAAACAAAUGUUGGUAUCAAAAUCCAAUAAACUCCAUUUAACAAUUGCCAAUAGGCUCCAUUCAGUAUUCAAUAUUCAACAUUCAACAUUGAAUAACCAAAUUGGUUCUAUCCAAUAUUCAGUAACCAAAUUCAUCAACCACAGUUUCAAUAGCACAACAAUGCUAAAAACCACAGCUAGUUUCUAAUCUAAAAAAACUACAACUUAUUUGUCAUUACGGCAACCUGAGUGGCAGUACUAAACAAUAAAGGCAAAUGGAAUUGGUGUGCUACCGCUAUCAUUCUCCAUGAUCUUCAAUGGCCUGAAUAAUAGUACCAACAAGAAGCAACGACAAUACUCAAUUCCAACAAAAUCCACCCAACAAAGGAAAAUGGUUCAUCAAAUUUUGAAAAUAGAGAGAGCUUUUGGUGCUCUAUUUCAUAACUUUUAUUUAAUCAAAGGAAAAUGCUUAACAUCUCGAAAGCUGAGAGAAGACUGAGAGAAACGGCAGCAUGUGCUGCCGUUUUGCCUCUCUCCUCUCAGCCUGAUAAUAACUUUUUAUUAUUAAAAAUUAAAAAAAAAUAGCAUUAUGGGGAUAAACAAAAAUUUAAUCAUUCGGGACAAACAAAAGCAAGCAGUCCACGUGCUUUCUGUUUGUCUCACUCUUCUUUUUGUUUUUUUUAAUUAAAAAUAUAUAAAAGGGGAAGAAUUAUUAUAACUUGCAUCUCUCUCACCUACCUCCUUAACUCUCCACAUUAAGGACCUCAGUCACUCGACUCUAUCUGACUUUCUCUCCUCUAAUAACCAGUAAUUUUCACAACAAUUUUCAUACAAUUAAUAUUCCAAACCAAAAAUUCAUCUUUAUCAUCAAAUAAUUACCACCAAAAUUUACAAAACUAAUCCAAGAAUGCACAGGAAAAAAAUUCAUUUUCUUUCACUGAUCAUCUUCUGUAUUUGGUAGCCGGAGAGUUCUGUAUUUGGUGGCCUGAGAGAGUGAAGAAGCGGUGAGGGGUAGUGACGAUUCGGAGAUGAGGAUAGAGCCGAGGAUGAGUAAAGAAGUGAGGUAGGAUGAGUUUGAGCUGUGCAAUAGUCAUGAGUGAGGGAGGAUCGAUAUCUCUCUAGAUCCACUCACACUGAGAGAUCACUAGCUAAGAGAAGAAGAGAGCACUAGCAGAUGCAGUAGUGAGAGAGAAAGGGAGUGGUGAUGGCACGAGAACUGAGAGAGAGAGAGAGAGAGUGUGAUGUUUUUGUCCCCAUCGAGCUUUUUUUUAAUAAUAAAAAAGUAUUUUAUGGCUGAGAGGAAGGAGAGAGGCGAAACGGCAGCACAAGCUGCCGUUUCUCUCACUCUUCUCUCAGCUUUCUAGAUGUUUAGCACUCCUCUUAAUCAAAACAUCUUGGUUUGGGUACGAGGCUGACAAGGUCUCCGAAUCCAAAAUUUUGUUGGAUGUUGGGCCUAUCCUCGAAAUAGUUUCGAUUCUGUUUUUGUGGAUAAUAGCAAGAUAAAAAUUGUGGUGGAUACAGUACAUAACGCGAAACAAAUAAGAUUACAAUUAAAUUAAACGCAAGAAAUUACUUUUCUAGCAAAAGCUUAAUCCAACCCCUCCAUUACUUCUUUUUUAUGGAUAUAUAUUCUUUAAUUAUUUUUUGUUAUUUUACUUCCUGCUCAUCAAGUUUGUGAUGUUUACAACAAUUAUUCAUUUGAAAAGUUAUCCAAUGAUGUCAAGACGUGAAAAUUGAGAAUAUGUAUAGCGAAAAAAGUUUUCUUCCUCCUCCCUUAUUGAUUCAAAUUAAAAAAAAAUUUAACGGAUUUAAUGUGGUUUAAAAGUUCAAUUUUAUAUAACAUUUUAAUGACAUAAAUGGAACAGAUCAAUCACAUAAUCGAACAUAAUGAUAAGAAUCUUCUUGCUAUAUGUGCAAGUUGAAUUAUAUAAUCUUGAUUUUGGAAAAUGUGACCAGAACUGCAAAAAUGAAGAUUAAUUAACCUUGGAUGACAAUGAUUAAUACCCGUCCAUUUCUCCUAAGCUCUGUUUCUUACUUUGAUGCGCACAUGACUUGAAAGCUUCAUCUUCCGCUAACUCCCUUUCGUGAAACGUACUAACAAAUAACAGUAGCCUACUAACAAAUUAAGAAAUAAUCCAAUAUCUUUAGUACAAAUCCAAAUAGUCUCAUUUUGAUUUUGAGCUAGCUUUUUAAUUCCACACUCAGAGACAAAAUUUUGUGAAUUCACAUUAUUUAACAAAAUAAUUAACAAAUUAAUUGUGAUUAUGGUUGACGAUCAUGUUGAUAAGCAUCAUAUACACUAUCGUUGCAUAUUUAGUGAAAUGAUGCAAGGACGAAGUAUCACUUGGCUGUAAGAAUUAGUUACCCAACAAAUUGUGGAGUUUGUUUUAGAUAAAAUAAAUAAAUAAAUAAAUAAUAGAGAGCAUAGUUAAGCCGACAUGGAUAGACUAACUUAAACAAUAUAUUGCACACAAUGAUUAUUUUUAUUAACUUCCUUUUUUAAGAAGACACUGUACACAAAAGUAAAUAAAAAAAAAAAAUCUCUUGUACAGCUCAAGAGAUUUUAUAAGUUGAACUGAGCCAAACAAAGACACUCACACAAUUGAUAGAUAAUGAUAACCCAUCAUUUUAUUUAAUUAAUAUAAUACGGAAAGAGUAACUCGCACUUAACUAGUGUAGUUGGGAUUUCUUCCGUGUUGAGGGACAAUAAAGAGAUCUAUAUUAUCGUUCAUGCUCUCAUCAUUAACAAUACUUAUCAGAGAUAUUGGAUAACCCUCAGACCACUCGACCUUCCCUAAAAAUUCACAACAACAAUUGUAUUCAUUAAUACAUACAUUAAAAUAAAAAUUAUAAAUGACAUUCAACUGAACAUGGCCUGAGAACCUGGAUAAGGAGCUUCCAUGUUCUUCAAAUUAGAAAAGAUAUCUUCUAACUUCUGGUGAACCGUAAUCGAAAUUGAAGUUGCUUUUGUUUCUGGUUUGAUAAUAUGUUGCUGAUGUAUUUAUUUACGAGUCUUCGUAUAGUACAGUGUUGUAUGCAAUACAGCCCCUUCAACAGUAAAAAGGAAACUUGAACAACCGGUAUUUUACCGGUUGUACAUUUAAUAAAUUUUUAAAAAUUAUUUUUAAUGCAGAAAAAAUAAAAUAAAACGUAAAAAAUUAAGGCAAUUUUGUAAAUAUUUAACACAAACAAUGUUUGAGAGAAAAAAAUAUUUUUAAUUUCAACAAAAGUUAAAAAAAUUAAAGUAAGCAUGUCUCGACUCUUUUGUUUUAAUGUCAAUAUAUUAGGUGACAUUCCAAGUUAAUUUCACAUAUACCUAAUUUUGAUUAAACUUUCUCACUAGUUGGUUUGCUUAUCUCCACAUUCCAAGUUUAAUAUUCCCACUAAACUCGUUAAAUACUAAUAUUUUGGGUCAAAUUCCAAUUAAAUUUAUUUCUCGUUAGACAAGUAUCAAAAUUCCGUUAAACUUUCUCCACAUUUGGUUCAUGUGUUUCAACGAUUAUUCUACUAGUUUUUCAUUUAAUAUUUCAACUAGUUUAUCAAGAUUCCAAUUAUAUGGGUUAGAUAUUGAUAUCACUUUUUUUGGUUUGAUUAGUUCUAAAUUUUGGUAAUGUUUUUCCAUCUAUAGGUUCACAUGUUUCAACUUAUUGGUCCACUAAUUUUACGUUUGAUAUUUCUACUAAAUUUGUCAAGUACCAAUAUUUAUUGUUAGCUUCCAAGUAAUUAACAUUCGUCGUUAUUCUUAACAGCAAUGACUAGAAUUAUAAUAAGAACAAUAACGUUAAUACAAUAAUAUAACAACAUAAUAAUAUUUUAAUUGAGAGGAUAAGAAUGAAAUUAUGAAAUUUAGGUUGGGUAAAAAUGGUGAGUAUGAGGAAAUUAAAUUACCAUUUUUUAAGCUAAACAAUUCAUAAAUUCCACAUAUUUCAUUCUUAUUUCUCUUAUAUUUUAACAAAUAAACAUUAUCAAUCGUUUUAAUAUUUUUAUUAAUAAACACGAUAUUAACUACGAAACUAAAAGAUCCCAAAAAAAAAAAAAAAAAACAGAGACGCGUGUAUGCAUUGCUUGUGACAAAUCUCACCCAUGGAAAACUUUGUGAAAGGCAUUUGAAUUUGUGGCCACAUUUAAUGAACGAAACGAUAACUUUAAAAGAAAGUAUGUACUCUGUUAAUUAUUAGGCUUUAGCCUGAUGAUUGCAAUUAGUUUGUCUUUUAAUUAAAUUAUUGCCGACAAACACUAUCACGACCCACGUCCGCUCCUAGUGUGAAUGUGUGUAUAAAUAUCCGCAGCAUAUUAUCAAACCUGAUGCGUGAUCAUCUUUAAGUUUUGGUUACGGUUAAUCAGACGUCAGAAGAUAUCUUUUCUAAUUUGAAGCAGAUGGAAACUCCUUAUUCAGGUUCUUAGGCCAUGUUCAGUUGAAUGUCAUUUAUAAUUUUUAUUUUAACAUUAUGUAUCUACGAAUACAAUUAUUGUUAUGAUUUUUUCAGGUAAAAAUGGAUGGUCUGAGGGUAACCCAAUAACUAUGUACAUUAUUAUUAAUGAUGAGAGCGUGAAUGAUAAUUUGGAUUUUAUUCUCGUCCCUCAAUACAGAAGAAAUCUUGACCAUAGUGGUUAAAUGCUAUAUAACUCUUUCGUAUUAUGUUUAAUUAAUAAUAAAAUGAUGGGUUAUUAUUACCUGUCAAUUAUGUGAGUGUCUUUGUUUGGUUUAGUUCAACUUAUAAAAUCUCUUGAGAUCUAUAAGAGAUUUUCUUUGUUUACUUUCAUGUACCGCGUCUUCUUGUAAAAAGAAAUUAAUAAAAAAAAAUUAUCAUUGUGUGCAAUGUAUUGACUAAGUUAGUGUAUUCAUGUUAGCUUAAUUGUGCUCUCUCUCCUUGGGUUUUUUCUUUAAAAAAAAAAAAAAAAACUCCACGUAUUGUUGGUUAGCUAAUUCUUGCAGGUAGCAAGUGAUCGAUACUUUUCUUUCCCCUACUGCUGUAGCAUCAAAUCCUUACAAUUACAUAUCAAGUGGUAUUCGAGCCGUCAAAUGAUCCAUGGAAACACGCAACAAAUCAAAUGCUGAAUUUUGCGAAGAGAUUCACGAAAUCCUUGCUAUACAUGAGUCUAGUUUUGACCAAGUUCGCGUCACCCAUCAGCUGCGGGUUUGAAUGGUACCUAGUGGAUAUUUUGUGAGUUCCCACUAAUAAAAUCACACUUGCAACAAAACUUAAAAAUUUAAAUUACGUAAUUCAAAUUAUAAAUUUAUAAUCGUAGCCUAAAAAAUCACAUAAAAUACUUAAUUUUAUAUUUUAUCAAUGUAAAUGAGAAAUGAAAGUUUUAACAUUAAAAUAAAUACACAAAAUAUAUCAAUUUAACACAAAUUCUCAAAUUUAAUUACCAAAUACAUAAGUCUAUCGCAACUCAAAGUGCUUUCAAUUGAAAACAAAAAAAAGAGAAAGAGAAAAAAAAAACAAAGAACUACAAAUCAAAGUAGCAGCCAUGACCCAUUUUGCAGUCUCAUUCGAUACCAUUAGCACCCAUCCAACACAAUUUUUCUAAACAAAGUAUAAAGUACAAAAUUACAAUAAGCAUAUCAUACUCCAUGCUUUAAGUUAAAGAUCCUUAUAUAUUUUUAUGAAUAAUUUUUUAAUGAAAUUUUAUGAUUAAAAUUAAAAAUACAAACAUUCAAAUAAGAAUGUCAGACACUUGCGCAACUAUUUACCAAAUUUUUUUCUCUAUAAAAAUCGACCUGCAACUUUCAAUAGGUUUAAAUUUAUAAUAUCAAACCUGAUUGCAGCUCGCAAAAAUUAUCCGUUGCGGCCAAGACUUUGGAUUUGCGAUGAUUUUGCCACCCUAAGUGUAGUUAGUAUUGUAUAUCAUGUGGCUCUUAUAAAAAGCCUAGAAGUUGUUUGAAUAACGGGGGAGACACAUAUCUCCCAAAGAUUUUCUCUUUUUCAAAUUAUUAUUUUUUCUCUAUUAUUGUAACUUCGAAUCCUUAUAAAUUACAAAUUGGAGACAUGAACACAAUGUUUUGACAUAGUGGACUUUUGGCUUGUCCAGAGAAAUUUAGGAUAGAUUUUUACGCACUAAGGCUCUAUUUACUAUUGAGGUUUUAGAACUUUUAAGCCACACUAGAAAUUUGUAUUGUUUUGAUAGAGUUGUAGUCUUUGAUAUGUGAUUGGUAUUAAUCAAGUGUUAUGUUUACAAUAGUUAAAGGCAUAUUGAAUCAAAAUCCACUUCUAAGGGCUUGAUUAAGUGAUUGUAAAGUAGGUUUUUAGUUUGCUAGCCACUCAAGUUCAAAUAUUGGAACCACAGAGCGUUAUAGCCAAGUGAAAGAACUUGUGCCCUAAAAAUUGAGGGGUGCAUAUCGAGUUUUAUCACCAAUAAAAGUUGGUGUUAAAACUUUAAUUUCCCUCCUAUUGAUGGAUAGGGGGUAAUUAGGAGUUUACAUCCCCUCCUAUUAACAGACAGGGGUUAUUAAGAAUAUUAAAAAAAGUUCAAAUAUUGAAAAUAUAGGUAUGGGUUAUAAAAUUCAUAAUAUAAAGACACAAAAUCAAGAUAAAGGUUUAAAAAUUUAGAAUCAUGAGAGCGUGACUUGUAAGUUUCAAAGAAGUAUGUGCAAAUAUAUGCAUUAUUGAUGCCCAAUUAAGGGUGGGCAUUAAGAUCGGGUAAACCCGAACCGAACCGAACUUAAAAUUUAUUUUGGAUUCAAUUUGGUUAUGGUUGAAGCUUUCAACUGAGUUCAAAAUUUAAAAAUGAUUGAGUUGUAUUUAUGUUCGAAUUUAACCCCAAAAGACUAAUCAAUCCAAUCGAGUUAAGUAAGCAAAUUAAGAAAAAAAAUCCCAAAAAAUUAAAACUAACCCUAACUAAAAACAUUCGACCGCGCCCUCCUCGUUUUCUUUUCUUCUUCCAAAACCCAAUCAUAAGUUCAUAACGUUUAGCGUUUGCUAUUACUAUAAUUUUUUUUAACCAAUUUUCACAUUCAUCAACAUAGGCUGACAGAUUUUGUGGAAAAUAAAAUUAAAUAAAAAUACGAGCUCACGAAAUUCCUUUUCCGAUGUGGGAAUCUAUCUACACCUUUCACGUGCUUUCUUUUUCGGUGGUGGUGGGGGAUUCACUUGCUUUUGUUUGCAUUGCCUUAUUGGAUAAAAGUUUGUAGAACAUCGUCUGUUUGGUUAAAGCCGAGCAUGAGUGAAGAAAAAUUAAAAAAAAAUAAUUUCCCAUUAAUUUGCAACAAGUAUUAAUAAAGUGCAUGCGAAAAGACACCAGGAUAUGCCUUUUUUUAAAUGAAAAUAAAUGUCCCUUUAUGAUGCCGUAAUUUUUUUUACGGUAUCAAUAGUGUAAGAAAUAUAGACCGUUAGAUCUAAUCAACGGUAUAUAUUAUUUUUAUUAAUAAAAUUUUUUAAUUAUUUGAAAAUUGUGUUAACCGGUUAACAAACCUAUAAAAUAGGUAAUUUUAAAUUUAAAAUAAAAAAGAAAUAGAGAUGCAGUAAAGUACAAUCUCUCUUUAUCUCUCACGUUCAUAUUUUUAUAAUUGGAUUCUUUAAGAUUAUCUUUGUCUCCUAAUGAUUAGAUGAAAAAGAUUCGAUAAAUUUCUCUUAAUAAAUAUUUCGGUAAAUUUCUUUUUUUUUUUAACAAAAAGCAAUUAAAUUUUCCUCUGGAAAAAGGUAAAGGUCAUUGUAGCACUCAAAUUGUCAUUUUUAACUCAGUUUUUUAAUUGAAGGGAAAAAAAAGGCAAACAACAUAGGCUAAAACACUGUGCUAAAUUUAAUAACCCAAGUUCAGGUGAACAAGACAUCUAGCAAAGUUAUGCAUCACUUCUUCUUCUCUCCACCUCCAGGGGCCCUACUCUUGCGAAGGGCAUUAGACAUCUCCUCCCGCUUCUUUUUUGCCCUCUUGUGAGUGCCAAGCUUUCUCUUUGCAACCUUCAGUGCCCUCUUGUCCUUGCCGACUUUAAGAAGCUCAGUGAUCCUUUUCUCAUAAGGUGCAAAGCCAGCAACUUCCCUAAUCACAGUCCUCACGAAGUGGACCCUUUUGCUUGUUUUCCCUUUGCGAUCUGCUGGGCGUGGCGGCAGUUCCUUCUUCGUCACAAUAUAACCCUUGUUUAAUCCAACAAAGAGACCAGUAUUUGGCUGUUUCGGAGCCAUCACCUCCGACGAAACUGAGUUGCUGCGGAAACCUGAGAUGAGUUGGGAGUAAAUAUUUCGGUAAGUUAUUCUUGAAUGAUUCAGAUUAAAUGAAUGAUUCAGAUUAUCUAUUUACCUGCAACCUGUAAGUUACCUGCUAUAUUUUAAUUAAUUAUCUAAUUAUCCAUUAUAUUAAAUGAAUGAUUCAGAUUAAAACUCUUAUAUCUAAGGGUCCACAUUAGUUCCACUAUCAAUACUGUAAAAAUAAAUACAGCAUCAUAAAGAAAUCCGUUAAUUAAUCAAUUUAAAUGGUAUGACAUUUUGAAAUGACAGAAGCGAUCUAAAGUUUAAAUCUUACUCACACCUAAUUUAGGGUUGGGAAUUAAUUGACGUAAUAUAUAAUAACGAAUUCGAAAGACAAUUAAAAAUUAAAAGAAAAUAAAAAAGUACUUUCUUUUUUAUGAUGGUAAUUUGUUUAGAUGAUGAAAACUCUUAGAGUGGUAUUAUCAAUACAUAGUUUCGAGCGUUGCCAACGUGAAUAAUAUUUAAUUUCCUUUAUCUAGUUAUAUCUCAACUAACAUUUAAACAGAAGUAAGUUGUAAAAAAAAUGAACUAUUGAGAUUUGAGAGAACGAAAAACUAAAAAAAAAAAGUUAAAAAAUUAGAUCUCAAUAAAUUUACUUGAGAACUACUUUACUGAUUAGUGAAGAGAAAACACAAAGAAUAAUGAUGUAUCUCAAUUAAUAGGAUAGUUUUUGUAUUUUUCGUUUAUUCAAGAAUCACGAAACUUCAUUUAAACUUGUUAUUUCAUUGAUAAUAUAUUAAUAUUGAACAAUUAAUGUAGGAGACAUUCCUUUCCAAUUAUGCCCAUAUAUUAAUUAAAGAUCACCAAAAAGUUCAGGGAUACUAUAGUAAUUUAAGUCAACAAUUUCUGUGCUUGAAAUCAGCCGAUCAAACUCAUUUUAGAAUAAACUGAGAAAUCAAAAUCACAUUCUCCGAUUCUAUGAUUUCAAUUCAUCUUAUUUCUUCAACUGAAAAAUUGGUUGUAUUUCGUUUUAUUUUAUUUUUAUUUUUAUAUAAAGAUAAAUAUAAAAUAUAAAUGACGAGGAGACUGUAAAAGUAAAAUCAAAAGAAGAGCACAAGUUUUAUUGAAAAUGACUCUUGUCAUCAUUUUGCCGGAGUGAAUGUAUCUACAUAUAAACUAAAGAAGCACAUUUGUUUGUAUUAGCUUUUUUAUUGUAUUUUUAAUAAUAAGUCAUUUGUCAAUGAACUUAUAUCAAAUUUUUACGAAAAUAAUAGGUGUUAGUUAGAUUAUUCAAAUGGCAAAACCUCUUGGGAUAGAGCUUGUAAUUUAGUGGCUCAUGAAUUGUCUAAAUUGACACUACCGAAUUAUUGUAUUUGGUUAAAAAAGCUCCUACUCUGCUUCAACUUUAUUAUCCUAUGAUGUUUAUUAAUAAAUAACAAUUUUAUUGAAAAAAAGACCUCUUGAAAUGAUACAAAAGAUUUGGGACAUGAAUCUCACUCGAAUUUAGCUUGAGGUUGGCAUUGUUAGCAUAAUAUUUGAAGAUAGAUUUUUUUUUAAUUAAAAAUCAAAAGAUUUUUUUUAAUUAAAAAUCAAAAGAUUUUUUUUUUUGGGGUUCAUACUAGUUAGUUUUAACUCAUAGUGAGAUUUAAACAAAAAUGGAAUAAUAAAUCUUGAUAUCCUGACUCAUGGAUAAUGUAUAGAUAAGAUAGUAAAAUUUAUUGUGUCAAAAAUAAGAGGUCUGAAGUUUGAAUUUCGCUCACAUAGGUAGUAAGAGAAUCAAAUUAUUGAUAGAUUAAAUUAAUUUAAAAAAUUUCUGAUAUCCAAAACAACGUAUCAACAAAAUUGAAAUAAAAGAAAAUUGAAGAGAAAAACCAUUGAGAGAACGAAAAAUUAACACAAGAAAAUUUCUAUAACUAAUUGUAUCAGUGUGCGCCAACUUCACUUAUUAAAACAUGGUUAUUUCAUUUUCAUGGAUAAUCAUUUUGACACCGGUCAAAUUUAAAAGUUUCAAAAAAUAUGGGCGAUUUUUCUUUCCAGCUAUGCCCAUUAACUAAUAAAAGAACCGCCGAAAGGGUUCGGGGAUAGUAUAGUAAUUUAAACUAACAGUUUCUGUGCUUCAUAUCGUCAGAUCAAACUCACACCUCACAAAAGCAGAGAAAUCAAACGGUUUCCGACUCUACGCUUUAAAUUCAGCUUCAUUUCUUCAACUGAAGAAUCGGUCGUCUCUCAUUUUUUAUUUAUUAUAUAAAGAUAAAUAUCUAAAUUUAAAUGGCGAGAAGAGCGGACGAGGAAUACGAUUACUUGUUCAAAGUGGUAUUAAUCGGCGAUUCGGGAGUCGGCAAAUCGAACUUACUCUCCCGAUUUACUCGUAACGAGUUCUGUUUGGAGUCCAAAUCCACUAUUGGCGUCGAAUUCGCCACCCGCACUCUUCAAGUAACUAACUUUUCCUCUUUCACUUCUCUUCAUUUUUAUUAGUUAAUUAAGAUCCAGUUAAUGUAAUUAAUUUUAUUUAAUCUUUUAAAUAAAGUUCUAGAUUAGGCUAACUUAGAUUCAUGUGAAGUUGAAGUGAUUUACUUUCGAUCUCUUUUUCGUCCUAUGUUUAUUUGUACUUACUAUUACUUUUUUUUGGGUUUAAAUUUUCGUUUUUGAAGUGUUUACUGAAUAAAUUUCUGAGCUUUAUUUGUGUAUGCUGAUUGAUUUGUGAUUUUAAUUUUGUGACUUUUUUUUUGGAAUUUAAAUUUGAAUGCUUUUUAAGUUGAAUCUGAUUGUGUUGGGCUGCGAUUUAAUUAAGUCAUCUGUGAGCGCCAAAUUGUGAUAGCUAUAUAUUGGGGUGAAAAUUUGGGAUUUAAAGUUAUGUAUUUAAGAUGCAGUUAAUUCGCAAGUGAAAAUUAUGGGCCGGCAGAUUUUGUCAUUGGAAGACUGUUCUCCACAUGUUGAAGUUAGUGAUGCAAGUUGAAACCAAUCUGUUUAAGCUUGGGGUUUCAUGUCUUGAAUCAAGGCUGUGACUUGGGGUGGGUUGAAAGUAUUAUAGCUUUAGCUAUUCCUGAAGUGAUCUGUUUAGACUCACCGUGAUGAGACCGAGUGCUGUACAGUAAAAUGAAAGGAAGUUGGAAAAUAUUUACUUAGCAUUUCGCGUUACUAAUGUUGAACUAAUAAAACCUAGCCCCUAUCCUAGUGAAUUUAUCUUAAAAUAAUAGCAAUAAUAAGUGGACAAAGCUAAGUUCCAGAGGUGAGAUAGGAAAUUCUCCCGCACGACACAGCACAAACAAACUUUCCCUUUCAUUUUCUUUUCUUUUCUUUUUCUUGCUCUCCAAACAGAGCAAAAGUAACGUCGCAAGAUUCUUCACUUCCAUCCAAAAUCAUGAGCAACGAAUAGCGAGCCUCCCUGUUUCCUUCCUUUUUUUGAUAUUAACAUUGUUAACAUCUACUCAUUUUCAUUUGACAAUACUUCAAUUUUUUUAAUUUUUGGCUUUUCAUUUUUUUUUGUUGCUAAACCGAUUAUCUGUUCAAGCUGUUGCUUAUCGGAGACUCGUCCAUCGGAAAGUCCUGCCUGCUGCUCCGAUUUGCUGUCUGUUGACUUUUCCUUUUCCUCUUUAUUUUCUUUUUUUUUUUAUAUAAAUUACUUUCUAUUUUAGCUUUUUGUUCUUUGAAUUUGUGUUAUUAAAAUGAUAAUUUAGAUGGUAAAUAAUUGUUAUUCUUGGAAAUUUCAGUUUUCAUUACGUUAAUUACUAGUUUUUAGGUUUAUUAAUGUAAUUUUUUUUUUAAUUUUUCAGGAUGAUUCUUAUGUCGACAGCUACAUCAGUACCAUUGGAGUAGAUUUUGUGAGUCUCUCUUCUAUAUAUAUGUAUAUAUGUGUAUAAGUUAUAGUAUGAGUCUAUGUACGUGUAUGUAUGUAUGUGUAUGCAUAUGUGGAAAGAAAUGUUGGCAGACUUCAGCAUUUUACUUUUUUUUUUUUUAUUUUGGCAGAAAAUAAGAACUGUGGAGCUGGAUGGGAAGACGAUCAAACUGCAGAUUGUGAGUCAAAAUUUCCUUUUAUCCUGUAUUGAGAGAAAUUCGACUUGUCUUAUUUAGUGAAGGUUAUGUUCAAGAACCUUGUGUUAUUUUCUUUGUUUGAAGAGUUAUAUGUCUUUUAAACAUCAUUUAGGUAAUGUCUGAUGUUUGAUUGUUUUUCAUCUGUUUAGUGGGACACUGCUGGACAGGAGCGAUUCAGGACUAUAACUAGCAGUUAUUACCGAGCCCAUGGAAUCAUAGUAAGGAGCCUUCCCUGUUCUUGGUUUAAAUCAGAAAGUUUGUGAUUUACAUGUGACAUCUUAACAACAUUGUAUGUGUUUAUUAACUUAUUUUUCAUCUUUCAUUAAGCAGUACAUUUUCCAAUAAAUCUGUAUACAAGAUGAUGUAGUCCAAGAAUGGGAGCGAUAAUAUGAUGCAUAUUGUCUAAUAAAUUCUUAUGACAUAUGAUGUUGUCGGAAGUAAAAGUCUUGCAAUGCUGUAUUCUCUUUUAAGAAAGAAUAAGUGAUACUUUUGUUUUUCCAAUUUUUUAAUUGAGCAACUGUGUGAGAUUAAUUAAAUGUGUUUGGAUUUCAACAGAUUGUCUAUGAUGUAACUGAGAUGGAGAGCUUCAAUAAUGUCAAGCAGUGGUUGAAUGAGAUUGACAGAUACGCAAAUGACAGUGUAUGCAAGCUUCUAGUUGGGAACAAAUGCGAUUUAGCUGAGAACAAGGUUGUGGACACAUAGACAGCCAAGGUAUAUUCGUGACUUCUGUCGCCUGAACUUUGAACAUAAUUUUAAGCUCUUCUCAAGUGCAUUUGCUUGGUAAGUUUCUGCAUACCCAGGACGCUCAAACUUUGGACAUUUUGUAUCUCGAGUUGGAAUCUUUUCUGUCAAUACAACUUGUUAAAAUAAGGGUUAUUAUCGUUUGAAUCCUUCAAGAAUUGCAAUAAAUCUAAAGUCCAUAAAAAAUAUGAUUCCAUCAUUUUACUAUUAUAUCCAGACAAAACCCAUUAUUUUACUACAUUUCAUUAGCACCGAUAGUUGACCUGUUGGCUGACUGAUAAAAUAUCAAUUUUGCACUUUAUAUUAAUUCUUUUUUGGUUAAAAAAUAACACACAAAGUAUUACAAUAUUAUAAAUUCAAAAUAUAAAGUAGCUACAAAUAAUUGCUAUUAGCCUAUGAAUUUAAUAUUUGAUACCUCUAUUUGUGUAAUUUUUUUCCAAGAGUGAAAUUGGUAUUUUUUUUGUACUAACGGAAAUGUAGUAAAAUGAUAAGUUUUGUAAAGAUAUAGUAGUAAAAUGAUAGGCUAAAAUACUUCUUGUAGUUGUUUGAUAUAUUGUAAUUCUUAAAGUAGUCAAUUGAUAAUAUCCCCUAAAAUAAAUGUUCGUAAUAUGUUCUCAUUUUAAUGCAACUGAUUGUUUAAUAAAAUUGUAUUUCUUUGUUAAUCUUUUUUCAUGUGCAUGCUCAGUGAGAAUUUGACUUACUAGAACACAAGUUUGACUCUUCAUUUAAAUGUCUCUUGUAUCAUAUCCUUCAAUGUUGAGUGUGAUUCCAAUAAAAUUGAGUAGGGGGAUCCUUAAAUACCUUUUCCUAUUUUCCAAGGGCCUGCCAAAUUGCUCUAAGUGGUUCUACCCUUUAUCAAUGAAUAAUGAAAAUAAAAUUUUUAUUAAAGCAUUUUGUUCCUUAAAUGGUGACUAAUAGUACCCCUUUUUUUGGAGAGGAAAGCCAAACAUGCCCAAAGAGAAUCAUUUACUUUCCUCUAAUGUAUUUUCUAAUUCGUUUUGAGCCUUGAAUGUCUGUUUUGGUGCGUAUUCUCAUUCCAUGUCGAAUCUUAUCCAUAUGGACAACCCCACUUACAAAAAAGUCUAAUGAAUCUAUUGAAGUUCAUAUGAGGUUUGUGCUUUAGAUUUAGACCUCUCUCUCUCUCUCUCUCUCUCUCUCUCCACUUACAUGUCUUUCACUUACCUGUUUGCAUGCAUGCCCAUUCACACACUUUCAAGAUAAUACACAGUCACUCGUACUUGUGUUUUGGUUGAAUUACUGGCUGCUAACCUCUGUGAUUCAGUUUGAAACUUGCCACCCUUAGUGCUUCACUCAAAUGGUUGGUUAGGGUGAGAUCUGUAUCGUUUUCCUGGUCUCUUUCCAAGGUUAUCUAAAGGGAUUUGCCAGUCUGAUUCUUUUGGGAAUAUCAUUGCAUAAGAUAUCUAUUGUUUGUUAAUGAAUAAUUUCUAUUUAACUAGUUAUCUAUAUAAAUUGGUCAAUUUUAACUGCAUAAUUUGCAUGCAAUAAGAUUUUAUAAGAAUCUUGUUUUCAACUCAUGACUUAGACUAAUGUGAUAUGUUGAGCAUUAAGCUACAAGAUCUGCACAUCAAAGUGCUUCACAAUGUUAAGGAGAAAGCAUCUUUUUCUGCUUCUUCAUCUGAUUUAAAGUUUCCAAGGUACUUAUCCAAUAAAAUAUCCUUCAAGACUUUGGAAAUGCUUUUAUGUAUGACUGAGAGAAACUUGUUGGGUUGGUUUUUAGCAACAGACGGAGUUAUGGACUUUGUGUUGACUUGUUAUUGAUUAAGACAGUACAUCGGCUGAUCUAUUGGCAUCAAGCAGCAGAUGCAGAAAUUAUGGGUGGCAUACCAUUGUAUCCAAAUAACAUACUACAUUGAUUUUUCUGACUUUCUGUUGGUCUCCGAGAAAUGCAGGCAUUUGCAGAUGAACUGGGGAUUCCUUUCCUGGAGACGAGUGCCAAAGAUGCAAUCAAUGUGGAGCAGGCUUUCUUGACCAUGGCUGGCGAGAUUAAGAAAAAGUAAAAUCACUUAACUCUUUCCUUCUUGCCGACUGUUCUUAUUUAACAAUCACCAUUAUUGCUGGUUAUAUGCAUUGUGAUGAAAAUUCUGCAAUGAGUAACUUUUUACCUAAUGUUUUCUGUUGGAACAAAUUACUCUGGUAGAAAAGCCCUACAGGGUUUGAGAAAUCCCAUGAUGUGAUGAUUGUGAGCAUUUUAGACACCGUGUAUGGGUUUAUUUUGUGACUAUAAAAUGUUAAGAUUGUUUCUAGUUUUGGUUUGUAGUGCAUAAAAGGAUUCAAAAUUUGACAUCUGUCUAAAUCAGAUUAAUAACAUGAUAAUGUACAUAUGCAAGAUGUGAGGAAUUGUUUUAUCUCACCCCUAAACUUUAAGAAAUUGAAACAUUAUUAUUCAAAAUAUUUAACAUUUCCAGAAUUGAUAGUUGUCUAUUUGAGCAGUGACUGGUGGUUAUCAUGAACUGAUGUGUGGUUGUGGUUUCAAAUCUUGGUGAAACCUGUUGUCAUAUGCUGAUUAACAUAGCUAGUCUCUGAAACAAUUUGUUGAUUCACUAAUUAUGAGUUCAAAUUUGAUGCAGAAUGGGCAACCAGCCUUCUGCAAACAAAUCUUCUGGAACAGUUCAGAUGAAGGGAUAGCCAAUCCAGCAAAACUGCAACCGCUGUGGUUAGCCGAGCAUCUUAUUUUACUUCUACAUGUUAGCUGACUGAUUGUAGACAGUUUUAACUAUGUUGACUGCAUUAUCUUAUGAAUCUUUUAAUCUGUCAAAUAUUUAUUUCCUGGUUUAAGUUCUUUCCCGUUUAUAACAAAUUUAAUUUCUUGCUCCAUUGCAUUCCAAAUUCCUGUCAAUUUACGAGGGAAAAGGAAAAGAGAGACAAAAUGGGAGAAAAUGGUCAAAUUUGUUAGGGGGAGAGAGCUGUUCAAGUAGUUUUUGUUCUCGUUUAUUGUCAUAUCGGAUGGGUAAAGUUACCGAAACAGCGUCAUUUUGGGUGAAUUAUCAUAUUUAUGUAACACUUUUGAUAAUAUUUUUAUGCAACAAAAAAAUGUUAGUACCCUUUUCACAUUGUGAAGCGCAUGAUCGGAUGAGAGCAGUCUGUAUUCUGGCAUCACAAGCUAAUGCUUUGAUUUGCUUAGUUUGUUUUUUUUUUUUUCAUGGAAUUUGGAGAUGUUGUACAUGUAUGAAGAUGACGUAAUAAAGUUGCUUUGAUAAAUUUCCCUGGUCGGUUUACUUCACUAACCAUUAAUGCGCAAAGCCUCCUAAUGACCCUAAAAAAUCCCGUACAUAAUUAAAGAAUUUCAAUUUUAUACGUACAAAAAUAAAUAACUCUCAAAUAUAUUAUUUGAUAAUUCCAAAAACAGCAAUUCAUUCUAAUAAAUCUCGUAGGAAAUACAUGGUCUAUAUUGCAAGUUUUUUUUAGACUAAUUCAAAGAGAAAAUAUGAAGGACAUAUAAUUGUCCUUUAAUUGUCAUAAAGAACUCUAAAUAAAUUCUUAUACGCAUUGCAACUAAUUACAGCCUUGAUACUUCAUUUGGUUUUUGUUAAUUUUCUAUACAGUUGUGUUGUGCAUAAAAGUUUUGUUAAAUGAAAUCGGUAGGUGAGGGUUAAUUAAUCAAUUAAUUAAGAUCCAGUUAAUGUAAUUAAUUUUAUUUGAUUUUUUUAAUUCGAGUUCUAAAUUAAUCAAUGAAUUUAGAUUCAUGUGAAAUUGAAGUGAAUUAGUUUCGAUCUGUUUUUCGUCCUAUGUUUGUCUGUGUUUACUCUUACUUUGUUUUUUUUGUUUAAAUUUUGUUUUCUUAUUGUUUACUGAAUAAAUUUCUGAGCUUUAUUUGAGUAUGAUGAUUGAUUUGUGAUUUUAAUCUAAAUGUGUUGGGCUGCGAUUUAAUUGAGUGAUGUGUGAGCGCCAAAUAUUCAAUAACUGAUAAAUUAUAUUUAUAAAUAUUAAUAGCGAUGGCACAUAAACAAUUAAUUCAAGAACUUGCCCAUAGUGAUUAAUUUAAAGAGUAUAAGUAACAUCGCAAUACAGUCUAGCCCUUACAUGUUUAAUUAGCAAUUGAAAACUACUGUUGCUGAUGAGGUAGAACAUUAUAACACUGUUGCUGAUGAGGCAGCUGGUAAUUCUUCUGGUGAAGAUAUUAAGACUAUUAAAGCUGAAAUGUAAUUAGAGAAAUAUAAUGCAUUCCCUUAGUUUGCUUUUUGUUUUUUAUAUUUGUUUGGCUAAUGCUUUGCUUAGAUUGCUUUUUGUUUUUUGAGAUUUUAUUGGCUUAGUCGUGGGGUAUUGUUUUCUCUUCUAAUUUCUAUUUUUGUUGUUAUGGGAUUUGAUUGUGGUGUACAUAUACGAAAAUUAUGUAAUCAAAUGCUUUCAAUAAAUUAUUUAAAUUAGUUUUCAACUGAGAUUUGAAUUUUGAAAUUACAUACACAAACAAGCCCAUUUUUUUUAAAUACUAAUAAUAAAAUAUUUCAUUUUUCAUCUAUUACUACAAGAGGUAUAAUCGCAAAAGUGAGGAAGGCAGUCAUCCUCUGUUCAAUUAUCAAAAACUCCUUUUACCAUCCAUUUGAACAUACACAAACACGCCCAAUUUGAAAAAAAAAAAAGUAGUCAUUUUAAAAUAUUUCAAUCGUCCACUGUUCAGUCACCAAAAACUCCUUUUACCAUCCAUUUCAACGCCUAAUUUGAAAAAAGAAAAUACUAAUAAUAAUAAAAUAUUCUAGUCGUCCAUCCUUUUACAAAUCAAAAAUAUCACCAAAAACCAAUUUCCAAUCUAUUUCAAAACAAAUUUUGCCAAAGUCCUCCUCGGCUAAUUAAUUCAUACAUUAAUACAGUCCUCCUCUGCUGAAUAAUGCAAACCCGUUACGUUAUUCUACCAUUUCUUAAAUUUAAAGCAUUCCACCAUUUAAUAAAAAAAAUUCGAAAACCCAUUAUAUACAAUACAAAAAGCCCACCGACACCAAACCAUAUUAAUUUAAAAUAGUUUUCAAUUGAGAUUUGAAUUUUAAAAUUACAUACACAAACACACCCGAUUUAAAAUAAUAAUAAUAAUAAUGCUAACAAUAAAAUAUUUCAGCCGUCCUCUGUUCGGUCACUAUUCACUAAAAACCAAUUUACCAGCUAUUACAACAAGAGGUAUAUGGGUUAACAAGUCCCAAUAUUGUCCUCCAUCCUUUCUGCACUUCUCUUCCAUCAACGGACAUCUCCAGAAAGUAUUUGAGCUUGGGACAUCCCCUGAGAAACAAUGAAGUGAGGUUUUGAAGAUCAACAAUUGAAGAAGAUAGGCGUUCCAGAUUUGGAAAAUUGAAAAUCUUCAGAGACGUUAGAGAGGCAGGAAGAGGAAGCGCGGUCCCUAAUCUUUUGUCCUCUAGUGGAAAUGACACCAUGUCCUCAUCACAUCCACUGAUUAAAAGAUAUCGCAGAGAGGAGAAUCUGUGAAAUCCCCGUCCCCGCUCAAUCAUUGACUUCCAAAUCUCCAUAUUACCCCAAAUAUUAAGUGACUGAAGGUUGGUGGGAAGGCCAUCUUCUUCUUCAAGGCUUGGAAGCGCACCUCCUUUUCCUAUUGUUAAGUCUUGAAGAGAGCUCAGUUUGUGCAAUCCCUUGGGUAAGGCCUCUAGUCUCUUACAAUUAGAUAUCGCCAGCCUCCUGAGUUUCGCACAAGGCAAUCCCCCUUCGGGAAAGGACACCAGAUUUCCACAACUCUGUAUAUCAAUCUCUCGAAGCUGGUGGAGUUUAUGUAAACCACUCG
This 34387-nucleotide long non-coding RNA is filed under the name Citrus maxima (pomelo). Its description in RNAcentral is "long non-coding RNA (CMAX_LNC001758)". Lineage: Eukaryota; Viridiplantae; Streptophyta; Magnoliopsida; Sapindales; Rutaceae. The record is from RNAcentral.